GACGAACGCUGGCGGCGUGCUUAACACAUGCAAGUCGAACGGAAAGGCCCUGCUUUUGUGGGGUGCUCGAGUGGCGAACGGGUGAGUAACACGUGAGUAACCUGCCCUUGACUUUGGGAUAACUUCAGGAAACUGGGGCUAAUACCGGAUAGGAGCCCCUGCUGCAUGGUGGGGGUUGGAAAGUUUCGGCGGUUGGGGAUGGACUCGCGGCUUAUCAGCUUGUUGGUGGGGUAGUGGCUUACCAAGGCUUUGGCGGGUAGCCGGCCUGAGAGGGUGACCGGCCACAUUGGGACUGAGAUACGGCCCAGACUCCUACGGGAGGAAGCAGUGGGGAAUAUUGCACAAUGGGCGGAAGCCUGAUGCAGCAACGCCGCGUGCGGGAUGACGGCCUUCGGGUUGUAAACCGCUUUCGCCUGUGACGAAGCGUGAGUGACGGUAAUGGGUAAAGAAGCACCGGCUAACUACGUG
RNAcentral lists this ribosomal RNA (468 nucleotides) under uncultured bacterium. RNAcentral's name for it is "partial 16S ribosomal RNA". It matches the Rfam family "Bacterial small subunit ribosomal RNA", at positions 28 to 507 of the family's 1533-position model. The record is from RNAcentral.